AGUGAACGCUGGCGGUAGGCCUAACACAUGCAAGUCGAACGGCAGCACAGUAAGAGCUUGCUCUUACGGGUGGCGAGUGGCGGACGGGUGAGGAAUACAUCGGAAUCUACUUUUUCGUGGGGGAUAACGUGGGGAAACUUACGCUAAUACCGCAUACGACCUACGGGUGAAAGCAGGGGAUCUUCGGACCUUGCGCGAUUGAAUGAGCCGAUGUCGGAUUAGCUAGUUGGCGGGGUAAAGGCCCACCAAGGCGACGAUCCGUAGCUGGUCUGAGAGGAUGAUCAGCCACACUGGAACUGAGACACGGUCCAGACUCCUACGGGAGGCAGCAGUGGGGAAUAUUGGACAAUGGGCGCAAGCCUGAUCCAGCCAUACCGCGUGAGUGAAGAAGGCCUUCGGGUUGUAAAGCCCUUUUGUUGGGAAAGAAAAGCAGCAGGUUAAUCCCCCGCUGUUCUGACGGUACCCAAAGAAUAAGCACCGGCUAACUUCGUG
Molecule: ribosomal RNA, 492 nt
Filed under: uncultured bacterium
Lineage: Bacteria
Description: partial 16S ribosomal RNA
Rfam family: Bacterial small subunit ribosomal RNA
Source: RNAcentral